GCACUUGCUUCGGCAAUACAUAUACUAAAAUUGGAAUGAUACAGAGAAGAUUAGCAAGCCCCAGCGCAAGGAUGACACUAUAUUCAAAAUACAACUCUAGAACAAC
Stegodyphus dumicola is the source of this 106-nucleotide small nuclear RNA. Lineage: Eukaryota; Metazoa; Arthropoda; Arachnida; Araneae; Eresidae. The record is from RefSeq and is a predicted model, not a curated record.